AGGCCUCUGUGUACCACCCCCACACCACCAGUCGUGACUUCCAGGCCAUGAUAGCACACCUCAUCCAAGACCACACCUACCUCGGCAACAGUCUCCUCUCAAUGGCAAAGUUACUCGUCUCUGUAGACACACCAAGUCAAGGUGAGGAUGCUGACUGGUAUCAGCAGAUACAAUGAGAUGAGCUACAUCAUAGGGCUGCUGAUAGAGGCUGAUGAGUUUGAGAGGCUGGUCCACACCGCGGUGUAGAGAAAUGGCCAGCAAUUCCGACACAGUCAAGCGACUGAAGAGUGCAUUCGACGGCUACAAGGCAGCUGCUAAAACCUACGCUCAGGAGGACAUAUUGAGCAAGGCAGAGUACUGCACGACCCAGGCUAGACUGGUAGCACUACAACUCUCUCUGUUACAACAGCGGAAGCAAGUGAUCAACCUCAGUGCCAGGAACGUGCUGCAGUACAUGGAGACAGAGCCCUUCUCUGAGGCCUUAAUAGUGAGUGAGGCUUAUCGUCACUGUAUCCAUGCUGACUGGGUCAACACCAUCUACAAGAAGGUUGUGAUUAAAGGAGACUUCAAAUACUUGUCUGACUUCCAGUCAUCUUACUCCCUUGCCCCCUCCAUGGUGCAGGAUCUGUGCAACAAGCUUCACUGUUCCUGUCUAUACUGCUGUGUUUGGACACGUUGUUGUCUGGUUGUUAUGGUUGUCGUGUAGAAUCUGUACAAGCCGGGCUUACUCCCACCUUCCCCUCGGUACAUGAGAGACAAAGAGAAGACGUUAUGGUUGUCAUGUAGAAUCUGUACAAGCCGGGCUUACUCCCACCUUCCCCUCGGUACAUGAGAGACAAAGAGAAGACGUUAUGGUUGUCAUGUAGAAUCUGUACAAGCCGGGCUUACUCCCACCUUCCCCUCGGUACAUGAGAAACAAAGAGAAGACUUUUGAUAUGACAACAAACAUUAAGAAACUGCUUAACUCACAUCUGAGAAACCUGCCGCUACGAAAAAGACUCUCUGUUCAGUUGGGUUUCAAGGACUCUAGUAGCGGAAUGUUUGAUGACUCGUUCUUAUCUGACUUAUCUAGACUCUGAUAAUUAUAUAGUUUACAGGUGGUAAAGAAUUAUGUGUGUGUCUUGUGCUGAUUUUUACGAGUGUGUUCUUGAAAAAACAUUUCUGUUUGUCUACAUGUA
Molecule: RNA transcript, 1178 nt
Organism: Halichondria panicea
Lineage: Eukaryota; Metazoa; Porifera; Demospongiae; Suberitida; Halichondriidae
Exons: 10
Source: RefSeq, a predicted model, not a curated record